AGGUGUAUGAACAGGGAAACUAUGAAGUUGAAGGGCAAGUGUUCAGCUAUGAGAGGACCAGAAAACCGCUAAGAAACAUGUCUUGCAAGAAGUUGCUGUGGCCAACGUCAAAGAGGUUGCUGCCUGUGUUUUCCUCUAUGAUUUUGAUGGAUUCCUGUCUCACAUUGAGGUCUUUCAACCAUUUGGAGUCUAUUUUUGUGUGUGGUGUAAGGAAAUGGUCCAAUUUCAUUCUUCUGCAUGUGGCUGUCCAAUUUUCCCAGCACCAUUUAUUGAAGAGACUGUCUUUUUCCACUGGAUAUUUUUUUCUUGCUUUGAAGAUUAGUUGACCAUAGAGUUGAGUGUCCAUUUCUGGGUUUUCUAUUCUGUUCCAUUGAUCUAUAUGUCUGUUUUUGUGCCAAUACCAUGCUGUCUUGAUUAUCACAGCUUUGUAAUAUAUCUUGAAGUCAGGAAUUGUGAUGUCUCCAGCUUUGAUUUUGUUUUUCAACAAUCCCCUGGCAAUUUGGGGUCUUUCCUGGUUCCAUACAAAUUUUAGGAUUGUUUGUUCCAGCUCUGUGAAAAAUGUCGAUGAUAUUUUGAUAGGGAUUACAUUGAAUGUGUAGAUUGUUCU
This is a long non-coding RNA of Mirounga angustirostris (Northern elephant seal), 607 nucleotides long. RefSeq lists it as uncharacterized. The record is from RefSeq and is a predicted model, not a curated record. NCBI's taxonomy places the organism in Eukaryota, Metazoa, Chordata, Mammalia, Carnivora, Phocidae. The transcript has 3 exons.